GGAGAGAAGGCCAUUCUGAGGUCAACUGAAACCUCACUUGAGGGGCAGUUCCGUAGAUGGGAAUGAGGAGAGAGUCAUGGCCACAGCCACCUGGCCAAGGAGAGAGGCCAUAACUGCCAGACAGAACCAAGGAUGGAGGGACUUCAGCAGCACGAACAAUCCACACUCAGCAUGGGUCACUCUCUGGGACACACAUUUCCCUCUGGCUGAAAGGCUGAGCUGCUCCAGGGCCAACUGUGAGGUCAGACAGCUGCCCAGGGAUGUCUCCAGCCACUCAAGGGAAGAAGAGACCACUCACCUGUAAUUUCAACAGCAACAAAAGACCUGAGGUUCCACCAUCAGAACUUCACGCCCUAAGGAAGAUGCAGCAUUUCCUGUAAAAUGCAAGUGCUCCCAGGCAGAGGUAGCUCCCGAAGCCAUGAUCAGUUAUGUAUACCUUAGUGGCAGCUGAUUAACAGACUCUUCCCCAGAGCCAGCUGACAGGAAGCACAUCGGGGUAAAAGGGAAGAUGAAAACUUGGGUGCCUGGAGGAAGGGAACAAAUGCGAGCAGGAGCAUGGUAAUAACAUAGGUAAAAUAGCAGACGUUUAUACAUUACACCUGUGUGCCAGGCACUGUUGUAAGUACUGGAUAGAUAGACAGAUAAGUGGAUAGAUAGAGAGCUAGAGCUAGAGAGAGAGAGUGAGAGAGAGAGAGA
This 696-nucleotide long non-coding RNA is filed under the name Homo sapiens (human). Its description in RNAcentral is "non-protein coding lnc-ITGA11-2:5". Lineage: Eukaryota; Metazoa; Chordata; Mammalia; Primates; Hominidae. The record is from RNAcentral.